UGGGGAAUUUUGGACAAUGGGCGAAAGCCUGAUCCAGCAAUGCCGCGUGUGUGAAGAAGGCCUUCGGGUUGUAAAGCACUUUUGUCCGGAAAGAAAUCCUUGGCUCUAAUACAGUCGGGGGAUGACGGUACCGGAAGAAUAAGCACCGGCUAACUNCGUGCCAGCAGCCGCGGUAAUACGUAGGGUGCAAGCGUUAAUCGGAAUUACUGGGCGUAAAGCGUGCGCAGGCGGUUUGCUAAGACCGAUGUGAAAUCCCCGGGCUCAACCUGGGAACUGCAUUGGUGACUGGCAGGCUAGAGUAUGGCAGAGGGGGGUAGAAUUCCACGUGUAGCAGUGAAAUGCGUAGAGAUGUGGAGGAAUACCGAUGGCGAAGGCAGCCCCCUGGGCCAAUACUGACGCUCAUGCACGAAAGCGUGGGGAGCAAAACAGGAUUAGAUACCCUGGUAGUCCACGCCCUAAAACGAUGUCAACUAGUUGUUGGGGAUUCAUUUCCUUAGUAACGUAGCUAACGCGUGAAGUUGACCGCCUGGGGAGUACGGUCGCAAAGAUUAAAAACUCAAAUGGAAUUGACGGGGUCAUAGCUGUUUCCU
Molecule: ribosomal RNA, 590 nt
Filed under: uncultured bacterium
Lineage: Bacteria
Description: partial 16S ribosomal RNA
Rfam family: Bacterial small subunit ribosomal RNA
Source: RNAcentral